Molecule: ribosomal RNA, 498 nt
Filed under: uncultured bacterium
Lineage: Bacteria
Description: partial 16S ribosomal RNA
Rfam family: Bacterial small subunit ribosomal RNA
Source: RNAcentral
AUUGAACGCUGGCGGCAUGCCUUACACAUGCAAGUCGAACGGUAACAGGUCUUCGGAUGCUGACGAGUGGCGAACGGGUGAGUAAUACAUCGGAACGUGCCUAGUAGUGGGGGAUAACUACUCGAAAGAGUGGCUAAUACCGCAUGAGAUCUACGGAUGAAAGCAGGGGAUCGCAAGACCUUGUGCUACUAGAGCGGCCGAUGGCAGAUUAGGUAGUUGGUGGGAUAAAGGCUUACCAAGCCGACGAUCUGUAGCUGGUCUGAGAGGACGAUCAGCCACACUGGGACUGAGACACGGCCCAGACUCCUACGGGAGGCAGCAGUGGGGAAUUUUGGACAGUGGGCGCAAGCCUGAUCCAGCAAUGCCGCGUGCAGGAUGAAGGCCUUCGGGUUGUAAACUGCUUUUGUACGGAACGAAAAGCCCCGGGUUAAUACCCUGGGGUCAUGACGGUACCGUAAGAAUAAGCACCGGCUAACUACGUGCCAGCCGCCGCCGUAA